CGUACUUCGGGUCCUAAACUUCCUCCAUCUGACCUUCUAUUCUGUACAUUUCCUUGUGUAUUGUUUCAAGGGCAGAUUUGUUGUCCGUAUGCAACGAUUAGGGGUUUGUGGCACCAUGAAAACAAUACUUUACAAGAAAUCGAAUACUGACCUUUUAGAAUUAGUGUUUGUGAGAAUCCAUUAGAACUUCCAGCAGCUAUUCCCAUUGGGCUUGCUUUCAAACGAAGAUCAAGAAAAAGAGAAUUUGAUGAUGAAAAAAAACUCAAGUAUAUAAUGGAAAGGAGGCAUGGAAGUGUUAAAUUAGGGUUUCUGGUGAUGACGAUGAAGAAAAAAC
This 334-nucleotide long non-coding RNA is filed under the name Helianthus annuus (common sunflower). RNAcentral describes it as "sRNA HanXRQr2_Chr15g0713851". The record is from RNAcentral. Lineage: Eukaryota; Viridiplantae; Streptophyta; Magnoliopsida; Asterales; Asteraceae.